This is a small nucleolar RNA of Heterocephalus glaber (naked mole-rat), 99 nucleotides long. Its record names the gene U3. It matches the Rfam family "Small nucleolar RNA U3". Rfam says of the family: Small nucleolar RNAs (snoRNAs) are involved in the processing and modification of rRNA in the nucleolus. There are two main classes of snoRNAs: the box C/D class, and the box H/ACA class. U3 snoRNA is a member of the box C/D class. NCBI's taxonomy places the organism in Eukaryota, Metazoa, Chordata, Mammalia, Rodentia, Bathyergidae. The record is from Ensembl.
AAGGCUGUACUUUCAGGGAUCAUUUCUGUAGUUCGUUACUAGAGAAGUUUCUCUGAUCGUGUAGAGUACCAGGUAUGAAAUAAAACAUUUUUAAACUGA